CGUCAGUUCGUACUGUGAAGCAUCCUGUUAAGUCAGGCAACGAGCGAGACCCACGCCAACAGUUUGCCAGCUCGUCCUCCGGGAUGGUGGGGACACUGUUGGGACCGCUCUGCUAAAGGAGAGGAAGGAAUGGGCAACGGUAGGUCAGCAUCGCCCCGAAUUAUCUGGGCUACACGCGGGCUACAAUGGGUGGGACAAUGGGUAUCGACACCGAAGGUGAAGGCAAUCUCCUAAACCCAUCCGUAGUUCGGAUUGUGGGCUGCAACUCGCCCACAUGAAGCUGGAAUCUGUAGUAAUCGUGUCUCAAAAUGGCACGGUGAAUAUGUCCCUGCUCCUU
RNAcentral lists this ribosomal RNA (337 nucleotides) under uncultured Methanomicrobiales archaeon. RNAcentral describes it as "bacterial SSU rRNA". It matches the Rfam family "Archaeal small subunit ribosomal RNA", at positions 1002 to 1338 of the family's 1478-position model. Lineage: Archaea; Methanobacteriati; Methanobacteriota; Methanomicrobia; Methanomicrobiales. The record is from RNAcentral.